AAACAACGAACCCCCCGGCACGGAACGUGCCAAGGAAUACAAGAACGAGAUCGCUCGGUCCUCCUCGUGCCGUUCGCGGCACUAGCGAGGAGCGACCGACGUCUUGAUGUAACCAAAAAUGACUCUCGGCAACGGAUAUCUCGGCUCUCGCAUCGAUGAAGAACGUAGCGAAAUGCGAUACUUGGUGUGAAUUGCAGAAUCCCGUGAACCAUCGAGUCUUUGAACGCAAGUUGCGCCCGAAGCCGUCAGGCCGAGGGCACGUCUGCCUGGGCGUCACGCAUCGCGUCGCCCCCCCUUCCCGCGACCACGUGUCGUGUGGCCGAGGGGGCGGAUGAUGGCCCCCCGUGCCCCUAAUGGGGGUGCGGUCGGCCUAAAUGCGAGUCCUCGGCGAUGGGCGUCACGGCGAGUGGUGGUCGUACCUUGUGCGUAUGUCGUCGCGCCGUGUCCCCGCCCGUCGUCUGCGGAAGAAGGACCCUUGAAGUGCCGUUCUCGCACGGCCCUAAGACCGCGACCCCAGUCAGGCCGG
Molecule: ribosomal RNA, 526 nt
Filed under: Jacquemontia pentanthos
Lineage: Eukaryota; Viridiplantae; Streptophyta; Magnoliopsida; Solanales; Convolvulaceae
Description: eukaryotic LSU rRNA
Rfam family: 5.8S ribosomal RNA (bases 121-276)
Source: RNAcentral